RNAcentral lists this ribosomal RNA (349 nucleotides) under uncultured soil bacterium. Its description in RNAcentral is "bacterial SSU rRNA". It matches the Rfam family "Bacterial small subunit ribosomal RNA", at positions 26 to 380 of the family's 1533-position model. The record is from RNAcentral.
AGAUUGAACGCUGGCGGCAUGCCUUACACAUGCAAGUCGAACGGUAAAGGAGCAAUCCUUGAGAGUGGCGAACGGGUGAGUAAUAUAUCGGAACGUGCCCAGUCGUGGGGGAUAACGUAGAGAAAUUUACGCUAAUACCGCAUACGAUCUACGGAUGAAAGCGGGGGACCGAAAGGCCUCGCGCGAUUGGAGCGGCUGAUAUCAGAUUAGGUUGUUGGUGAGGUAAAAGCUACACCGAAGCCGACGAUCUGUAGCUGGUUUGAGAGAACGACCAGCCACACGUGGACUAGAGACACGCCCAGACUCCACGGGACGCAGUCAGGUAGGGGAAUUUGGAAUAAGUGGGCGA